CAGCAGCCACGGUAAUACGUAGGGUGCGAGCGUUAAUCGGAUUUACUGGGCGUAAAGCGUGCGUAGGCGGCUUCUUAAGUCGGAUGUGAAAUCCCUGAGCUUAACUUAGGAAUUGCAUUCGAUACUGGGAAGCUAGAGUAUGGGAGAGGAUGGUAGAAUUCCAGGUGUAGCGGUGAAAUGCGUAGAGAUCUGGAGGAAUACCGAUGGCGAAGGCAGCCAUCUGGCCUAAUACUGACGCUGAGGUACGAAAGCAUGGGGAGCAAACAGGAUUAGAUACCCCCGUAGUCCCUGUCUCUUAUAC
This 301-nucleotide ribosomal RNA is filed under the name uncultured bacterium. RNAcentral's name for it is "partial 16S ribosomal RNA". It matches the Rfam family "Bacterial small subunit ribosomal RNA", at positions 509 to 807 of the family's 1533-position model. The record is from RNAcentral.